UGCCUGUUUUUACAAAAACAUUUCUUUUAGUAAAAUUUUAAAGGUAAAUUUUGCUCAAUGAUUUAUUUUAAAUAGCUGCAGUAUUUUGACUGUACAAAGGUAGCAUAAUAAUUAGUUCAUUAAUUGUGAACUGGAAUGAAUGAAUAUAUGAAAUACUCUUUUUAUUUAUUUUAAAAUUAAAAUUUUAUUUUUAAGUUAAAAAGCUUAAUUGAUUUUUAGGGACGAUAAGACCCUAUAGAGGUUUAAUUAUUUUUAUAUAAUAAAUUUUUAUUGUUUAUGUUAUAAGAUUUUUAUGUUCUUAUUAUUUUUUCUGGGGCGGAAUAUAAAUUUAAACUUUAUUUUUUUUUUUCAUUUAUUUAUGAUUAUGUUGAUCCAUUUUUAAAUUGUUUUGAUUAUAAGAAAUAGCUACCUUAGGGAUAACAGCGUAAUUUCAAUGGGGAGUUCUUAUUUAUAUUGAAGUUUGCGACCUCGAUGUUGAAUUAAGAUUAGAUUUUGGGGUAGUUUUUAAUUUUCUAAGUCUGUUCGACUUUUAAAUUCUUACAUGAUCUGAUUCAAACCGGA
Molecule: ribosomal RNA, 561 nt
Filed under: Dryodurgades lamellaris
Lineage: Eukaryota; Metazoa; Arthropoda; Insecta; Hemiptera; Cicadellidae
Description: partial 16S ribosomal RNA
Source: RNAcentral